AACGAACGCUGGCGGCAUGCCUAACACAUGCAAGUCGAACGAGACCUUCGGGUCUAGUGGCGCACGGGUGCGUAACGCGUGGGAACCUGCCCUUAGGUUCGGAAUAACUCCCCGAAAGGGGUGCUAAUACCGGAUAAUGUCUUCGGACCAAAGAUUUAUCGCCUUUGGAUGGGCCCGCGUUGGAUUAGCUAGUUGGUAGGGUAAAAGCCUACCAAGGCGACGAUCCAUAGCUGGUCUGAGAGGAUGAUCAGCCACACUGGGACUGAGACACGGCCCAGACCCCUACGGGAGGAGGCAGUGGGGAAUAUUGGACAAGGGGCAAAAGCCUGAUCCAGCAAUGCCGGGUGGGUGAUGAAGGCCUUGGGGUUUUAAACCUCUUUUCCCCGGGAUGAUAAUGACGGUACCGGGAGAAUAAGCUCCGGCUAACUCCGU
Molecule: ribosomal RNA, 432 nt
Filed under: uncultured bacterium
Lineage: Bacteria
Description: partial 16S ribosomal RNA
Rfam family: Bacterial small subunit ribosomal RNA
Source: RNAcentral